RNAcentral lists this ribosomal RNA (496 nucleotides) under uncultured bacterium. RNAcentral describes it as "partial 16S ribosomal RNA". It matches the Rfam family "Bacterial small subunit ribosomal RNA", at positions 29 to 507 of the family's 1533-position model. The record is from RNAcentral.
AUGCACGCUGGCGGCGUGCCUAAUACAUGCAAGUCGCGCGAACAGACGAGGAGCUUGCUCCUCUGACGUUAGCGGCGGACGGGUGAGUAACACGUGGAUAACCUACCUAUAAGACUGGGAUAACUUCGGGAAACCGGAGCUAAUACCGGAUAAUAUAUUGAACCGCAUGGUUCAAUAGUGAAAGACGGUUUUGCUGUCACUUAUAGAUGGAUCCGCGCCGCAUUAGCUAGUUGGUAAGGUAACGGCUUACCAAGGCAACGAUGCGUAGCCGACUUGAGAGGGUGAUCGGCCACACUGGAACUGAGACACGGUCCAGACUCCUACGGGAGGCAGCAGUAGGGAAUCUUCCGCAAUGGGCGAAAGCUUGACGGAGCAACGCCGCGUGAGUGAUGAAGGUCUUCGGAUCGUAAAACUCUGUUAUUAGGGAAGAACAAAUGUGUAAGUAACUAUGCACGUCUUGACGGUACCUAAUCAGAAAGCCACGGCUAACUACGUG